Molecule: long non-coding RNA, 215 nt
Filed under: Lathyrus oleraceus (garden pea)
Lineage: Eukaryota; Viridiplantae; Streptophyta; Magnoliopsida; Fabales; Fabaceae
Description: Pisum sativum (pea) long non-coding RNA (PSAT_LNC003414)
Source: RNAcentral
UUUAAAUUCUUAUCGUUUCAGAAAUUAUUAUGACUCAACUAUAUACCAGAUACUAUGAGUGGUACUUAUACCAUAUUUAUCUGGUUUUGAACUAUUAGAGAGUGUAUUUCUAGAUCAAUCAUCUACCGUGCAAGGUACUCCCUCCAUUUCUUUUUAAGUGUCAUUUUCUAACUUUUUACACAUAUCAAGACAUCUAAUCAUUAUUGUUACUUUUC